This 1138-nucleotide long non-coding RNA is filed under the name Equus caballus (horse). RNAcentral's name for it is "lncRNA (ENSECAG00000060002.1)". The record is from RNAcentral. Lineage: Eukaryota; Metazoa; Chordata; Mammalia; Perissodactyla; Equidae.
GCUGUAUUUGCUGAGUGUUGAUGUUCAAGUUCUGUUGUAGCUAUUUUAUGAACUUAUAUACUAGAAGGUUAUUCUUGAAUUUGAAUUUCAAAGGUCAAAAAGCUUUGCUUCAAGGAUCAAUAUUCAUUAAUUUUUCUUUUCAGUGUUGAGUUGAAUAGGAAAUUUUUGUAAAAACAAUGAUAUAUUUUUAAAUUGGUUAUCAAUGGAUGGUAAGAGUAUAUGUGAUAUUUCCUUUACACAUUUUCAAAUAAUUUUUCUAAAACUAACCAAUGGUACAAUAUUUUAAAAUUUAAAAAUAGUCAUGGUUCUUUGUGCCAAGAGCGGUCCCCUGACUAUCUGGUCUGUUACCAUUUAAAUUACCCAAUAGCAAUCCCCAUGAAUUUUGAGCAGGGUAUGAGAAAGAACAAAUGGCUCCGAAAUCAUGGGAUGACUCAUAGUUACCCCUGCUUCAACUGUCUUAAUUUGAAGCUCGAUUUUCAUAGGAAUUGACAAAGUUAGAGGAAUGUCAUCUUUUAAAUAUAUCAUUAUUUAUUUUCAAUCCUCUGAGACUUCAUGUCACAUUGAUGCCAAAUCUCCCAUUAUUUUCUCAAAGGACACAUAUCCUUUUGUGAUUACUAUUCUGAUUAGGGAAGAAUACAUUAGCCAGGUAUAUGAGUUUGAUGGCAGUUUCCGGAUGUGUAUGGAAAUUUAAUUGAUUAUCUCUAUAAUGUGUAGUGCUUCUUUGCUGUACAUUGGUACAUGGCCUGGCUUUGGUAAAUUGUUCAUUUGUGUUUUACAUGACUCUUAAAGUGACACAUAAUAUUCUAUAUAUCUUCCUAGGAGAAGUAAGUGCAUAGAUUGAAGUGCUGGAAUCGUGAAAUCAAACAAAACUGGGUUCAGAUUCCUGUUCAGAUCUUUGUUAGCUGUAACCCUUAGGCAAGCUAUGUAUGCUUUCUGAGAUUUUUAAGUCCAUGAAAUUUAAAUUAGAAUGUUUGUACAGAUUCAGUUUGACAGUUUAUAUGAAUCUCUUGGUAAAAUGCCUAACAGGUAAUAUGUGCUCAUUAAAUGAUACAUAGUACAUUAUUACUCUGGAAUAUAAGAAUAAUGAUGCAUUACUCAACAGAGAAGAUUUUGAUUCUUUAUUAAAGCUUCCUCUGCU